RNAcentral lists this long non-coding RNA (300 nucleotides) under Gossypium barbadense (sea-island cotton). RNAcentral's name for it is "long non-coding RNA (GBAR_LNC006119)". The record is from RNAcentral. Lineage: Eukaryota; Viridiplantae; Streptophyta; Magnoliopsida; Malvales; Malvaceae.
AAGCACUCAAUUCCCUUACUGUUCCUAAUUUGACAAUGAAAGUAAAUGUGGAAUGGGCCUAAGGUAGUUAAAUUGUGAGUAGCCAUAUAAAAAUUAUUCAAAUGAGUUAUUAAUGGAAUUGUAUUUGCAGGAUAAAAUAAUUAAACUAAUAGAUAUAUGAUUGUGUACGAUAUUCGGUAAGAUUUGUGUUUUUAUGCUUAUGAGCUUACUAAGCUUCUAUAAGCUUACUUGUGUAUGUGAUUUGUUUUGUAGAUUGACUUAUAUACAUACGGAGAAUCGGAUCUACAUCAAGGGUCACAC